This 1404-nucleotide ribosomal RNA is filed under the name uncultured bacterium. Its description in RNAcentral is "16S ribosomal RNA". It matches the Rfam family "Bacterial small subunit ribosomal RNA". The record is from RNAcentral.
AGAGUUUGAUCCUGGCUCAGGACGAACGCUGGCGGCGUGCCUAACACAUGCAAGUCGAGCGGGGACAUGCAAUGCCUCUGAUGAGCUUGCGCUGAAGACAAUUUGUAUGUUCUAACCGCGGACGGGUGAGUAACUGGUGAUCAACCUUUCCUUCACGAGGGAAUAACGCACCAAAAGUUGUACUAAUACCGCAUAAGACCACAGUCAGCCAUCUUCCAGGGGUCAAAGGAGCAAUCCGGUGAAGGGUAGGUUGGCUUCCGAUUAGAUAGUUGGUGAGGUAACGCCCCACCAAGUGGACAAUCGGUAGCCGCCUUGAGAGGGUGUUCGCCCCCAUUGGGAUUGAGACACGUCCCAGAUUCUUACGGGAGGCACCAGUGGGGAUUAUUGGCCAAUGGGGGAAACCUUGACCCAGCAACGCCGCGUGAGGGAAGAAGGUUUUCGGAUGGUAACCUUCUUUCCUUGAUGAAGAGAAAGAGACGGUAAUCAGGGAGGAAGCUCCGGCUAACUACGUGCCAGCAGCCGCGGUAAUACGUAGGGGGCAAGCGUUGUCCGGAAUGAUUGGGCGUAAAGGGCGCGUAGGCGGCCCGGUAAGUCUGGAGUGAAAUUCCCGUUUUUAAGAUGGGAACUGCUUUGGAUACUGUCGGGCUUGAGUGCAGGAGAGGUUAGUGGAAUUCCCAGUGUAGCGGUGAAAUGCGUAGAGAUUGGGAGGAACACCAGUGGCGAAGGCGACUAACUGGACCGUAACUGACGCUGAGGCGCGAAAGUGUGGGGAGCAAACAGGAUUAGAUACCCUGGUAGUCCACACGGUAAACGAUGAGUGCUAGGUGUAGGGGGUAUCGACCCCUUGUGUGCCGCAGUUAACACAAUACAGCUACUCCGCGUGGGGAGUGCGGCCGCAAGGUUGAAACUCAAAGGAAUUGACGGGGGCCCGCACAAGCAGCGGCGCAUGUGGUUUAAUUAGACGCAACGCGAAGCACCUUCCCAGGUCUUCACAUCCAGUAAAACUUGUAGAGAUACAUCGUGUUUUCGGACAUAAUGACACAGGUGGCGCAUGGUUGUUGUCAGCUCGUGUCGUGAGAUGUUGGGUUAAGUCCCGCAACGAGCGCACCCCUUAUUCUCAGUAGCCCGCAUUUAGGAUGGGCAUUCUGGAGAGACUCCCAGGGAUAACCUGGAGGAAGGUGGGGAGGACGUCAAAUCAUCAUGCCCCUUAUGAUCUGGGCUACACACGUGCUACAAUGACGGUUACAAAGUGAUGCGAACCCGCGAGGGGGAGCGAUCCACAAAAAGCCCGUCCCAGUUCGGACUGUAGUUUGCAACCCGCCUCCACGAAGCGGAAUCGCUAGUAAUCGUGAAUCAGAAUGUCACGGUGAAUAAGUUCCCGGGUCUUGCACACACCGCCCGUCA